This is a long non-coding RNA of Prinia subflava (tawny-flanked prinia), 385 nucleotides long. RefSeq lists it as uncharacterized. The transcript is spliced from 3 exons. Lineage: Eukaryota; Metazoa; Chordata; Aves; Passeriformes; Cisticolidae. The record is from RefSeq and is a predicted model, not a curated record.
CAGGAAGUUUUUAAGGGAGUCCUGACUGAACGCUGUGUGGACAGAUCAGCUGAUGAAAACUUCCUGCCUGAGUAAAGGAGGAUCACACCACAGGCGAUACUUCACCUAUACUGCGAGGACCUAUCUGUCUUUUCUGUCUAGAAAUACUGAGAGUGAGAUUACUGCAACAUCUGUCACCUACAGCGUUCUCAGAUUGGGCUGGAACAGGAAAUAAGAAAAGUCUCACAAGUUUCCAAGUGCUUUAGUCAUUCUGUAAGAGCUUGUAAAGUUGUGGAAGACCCAGAGGAAAAAAAGAAAACAAACCAGGAAAGGCCAGCUUGAUGAAACCCCGUUCUGGCCACAGAUGUAGGUGGGUAAAACAAAAAUAAAGGACCUGUUUACAAAG